GCUCGAAUGGUGCAAUUGGUCUAGCAAGUCGGGUUGCAUGGUGGACGGAGUAGACGUUCUUGUCUGCGCUGCCAAAGCUUGCUUGAGGCCCACUGUCCUGAGUUCCUGGAGACCUCAGUUCGAGUCUGAGGUUGAGCA
RNAcentral lists this transfer RNA (138 nucleotides) under Alectoria fallacina. RNAcentral describes it as "tRNA-Cys". Lineage: Eukaryota; Fungi; Ascomycota; Lecanoromycetes; Lecanorales; Parmeliaceae. The record is from RNAcentral.